GACGAACGCUGGCGGCGUGCUUAACACAUGCAAGUCGAACGAUGAACCCGGAGCUUGCUCCGGUGGAUUAGUGGCGAACGGGUGAGUAACACGUGAGUAACCUGCCCUUGACUCUGGGAUAACUGCGGGAAACUGUAGCUAAUACCGGAUACGACCCUCGGAGGCAUCUCCUGGGGGUGGAAAGAAUUUCGGUCAAGGAUGGACUCGCGGCCUAGCAGCUAGUUGGUGAGGUAAAGGCUCACCAAGGCGACGCCGGGUAGCCGGCCUGAGAGGGUGACCGGCCACACAGGGACUGAGACACGGCCCAGACUCCCACGGGAGGCAGCAGUGGGGAAUAUUGCACAAUGGGCGCAAGCCUGAUGCAGCAACGCCGCGUGAGGGAUGACGGCCUUCGGGUUGUAAACCUCUUUUAGCAGGGAAGAAGCGAAAGUGACGGUACCUGCAGAAAAAGCACCGGCUAACUACGUGCCAGCCGCCGCGGUAA
Molecule: ribosomal RNA, 484 nt
Filed under: uncultured bacterium
Lineage: Bacteria
Description: partial 16S ribosomal RNA
Rfam family: Bacterial small subunit ribosomal RNA
Source: RNAcentral